GCGCAUUCUUGGACUUAAAGAGACACUUCAGGCACCAUAACAACUUAAUCUGAACGGUUUCUAGAGCAGUGUUCCCCAACCCAAUCGCUAUGGACCACCAACAGUCCAGGAUUUAUGCAUUUCCCUGUUUUAUUCCAGUGGAGGUACUGAUAAAAUCCUGGACUGUUUGUGGUCCAUGAGGACUGGGUUGGGGAACACUGGUCUAGAGGACCUGAAUACCAACUUACCUUACGGGGUUAAUCAUUUAACAGACACA
This is a non-coding RNA of Pelobates cultripes (western spadefoot toad), 256 nucleotides long. NCBI's taxonomy places the organism in Eukaryota, Metazoa, Chordata, Amphibia, Anura, Pelobatidae. The record is from the annotation of a GenBank genome assembly.